This 202-nucleotide ribosomal RNA is filed under the name uncultured bacterium. RNAcentral describes it as "partial 16S ribosomal RNA". It matches the Rfam family "Bacterial small subunit ribosomal RNA", at positions 524 to 725 of the family's 1533-position model. The record is from RNAcentral.
UACGUAGGGUGCAAGCGUUAAUCGGAAUUACUGGGCGUAAAGCGUGCGCAGGCGGUUUUGUAAGUCUGACGUGAAAUCCCCGGGCUCAACCUGGGAAUUGCGAUGGAGACUGCAAGGCUUGAAUCUGGCAGAGGGGGGUAGAAUUCCACGUGUAGCAGUGAAAUGCGUAGAGAUGUGGAGGAACACCGAUGGCGAAGGCAGC